Molecule: microRNA precursor, 89 nt
Filed under: Chlorocebus sabaeus (green monkey)
Lineage: Eukaryota; Metazoa; Chordata; Mammalia; Primates; Cercopithecidae
Description: miRNA (ENSCSAG00000027616.1)
Source: RNAcentral
AACAUAAGGUUGGUGCAAAAGUAAUUGCGGUUUUUGCCAUUGAAAGUAAUGGCAAAAACCACAAUUACUUUUGCACCAAGCUAAUAGAA